AAAUUGAAGAGUUUGAUCAUGGCUCAGAUUGAACGCUGGCGGCAGGCCUAACACAUGCAAGUCGAACGGUAACAGGAAGCAGCUUGCUGCUUCGCUGACGAGUGGCGGACGGGUGAGUAAUGUCUGGGAAACUGCCUGAUGGAGGGGGAUAACUACUGGAAACGGUAGCUAAUACCGCAUAACGUCGCAAGACCAAAGAGGGGGACCUUCGGGCCUCUUGCCAUCGGAUGUGCCCAGAUGGGAUUAGCUUGUUGGUGGGGUAACGGCUCACCAAGGCGACGAUCCCUAGCUGGUCUGAGAGGAUGACCAGCCACACUGGAACUGAGACACGGUCCAGACUCCUACGGGAGGCAGCAGUGGGGAAUAUUGCACAAUGGGCGCAAGCCUGAUGCAGCCAUGCCGCGUGUAUGAAGAAGGCCUUCGGGUUGUAAAGUACUUUCAGCGGGGAGGAAGGGAGUAAAGU
Molecule: ribosomal RNA, 463 nt
Filed under: Escherichia coli
Lineage: Bacteria; Pseudomonadati; Pseudomonadota; Gammaproteobacteria; Enterobacterales; Enterobacteriaceae
Also listed under: 2 other names
Description: bacterial SSU rRNA
Rfam family: Bacterial small subunit ribosomal RNA
Source: RNAcentral